GAUGAAGAACGUAGCGAAAUGCGAUAAGUAAUGUGAAUUGCAGAAUUCAGUGAAUCAUCGAAUCUUUGAACGCACAUUGCGCCCGGUAGUAUUCUGCCGGGCAUGCCUGUUCGAGCGUCAUUUCAACCAUCAAGCCCCAGCGCUUGUGUUGGGGGCCUGCGGCUACCGCAGCCCCCUAAAAGCAGUGGCGGGCUCGCUAUCACACCGAGUGCAGUAGUUCAUCUUCUCUCCGGUCUUGUGAGGCGGGUUCCGGCCGUGAAACACCCCACUACAUUCAAGGUUGACCUCGGAUCAGGUAGGAAUACCCGCUGAACUUAAGCAUAUCAAUAAGCGGAGGA
This 338-nucleotide unclassified non-coding RNA is filed under the name soil metagenome. RNAcentral's name for it is "partial contains 5.8S ribosomal RNA, internal transcribed spacer 2, and large subunit ribosomal RNA". The stretch from base 1 to 120 matches the Rfam family "5.8S ribosomal RNA", at positions 35 to 154 of the family's 154-position model. The record is from RNAcentral.